CGUACCGGGUUGACAGGGGGAAACGUCGAGCGCCCCGCAAGGGGAGCGGCAGACGGGUGAGUAACGCGUGGGACCGUACCUUUUGCUACGGAAUAACUCAGGGAAACUUGUGCUAAUACCGUAUGUGCCCGAAAGGGGAAAGAUUUAUCGGCAAAGGAUCGGCCCGCGUUGGAUUAGCUAGUUGGUGAGGUAAAGGCUCACCAAGGCGACGAUCCAUAGCUGGUCUGAGAGGAUGAUCAGCCACACUGGGACUGAGACACGGCCCAGACUCCUACGGGAGGCAGCAGUGGGGAAUAUUGGACAAUGGGCGCAAGCCUGAUCCAGCCAUGCCGCGUGAGUGAUGAAGGCCCUAGGGUUGUAAAGCUCUUUCACCGGUGAAGAUAAUGACGGUAACCGGAGAAGAAGCCCCGGCUAACUUCGUGCCAGCAGCCGCGGUAAUACGAAGGGGGCUAGCGUUGUUCGGAUUUACUGGGCGUAAAGCGCACGUAGGCGGACUUUUAAGUCAGGGGUGAAAUCCCGGGGCUCAACCCCGGAACUGCCUUUGAUACUGGAAGUCUCGAACAUGGCAGAGGUGAGUGGAGUUCAGAGGG
This 590-nucleotide ribosomal RNA is filed under the name Brucella tritici. Its description in RNAcentral is "bacterial SSU rRNA". It matches the Rfam family "Bacterial small subunit ribosomal RNA", at positions 70 to 675 of the family's 1533-position model. Lineage: Bacteria; Pseudomonadati; Pseudomonadota; Alphaproteobacteria; Hyphomicrobiales; Brucellaceae. The record is from RNAcentral.